CGGCGCAAUUCUAAUAGAGGAGGGCCCCAUAUGACUCCCAUCUUCUUCUUCAUUAGAAACAGAAAUCAUCAGCCAAGAACAGAACAGCUUCCGCUAUUUAACAAACACAAAUGACCCCUACAUUUAUCUUAUUCGUUUAACCCAACAGCCGAUCUUUUUCAUGAGAGGAGAUACAACCUAAAAUACUCCCCUCCAUCUCCAGCAUCCAAUGACACCCAUCCUCUUUACCAUCAAACCAGGCGCCAACCACCAUCUGAUCCUAACUCAUCCUAAAAUCACGCACGGUCAGAGUUUUGUAAAAGCUCCAUCAACUCAUUUUAAAACAAUUGGAUUCAUAGCAGGUAAUUUUUAUAUAUAUAAGUGAUGAGUGAACUCCUUUUUUCCUUUGUAUUUCCCACUUAAAUGAUCCUUUACGCUCUAAGUUAAAGAUAGCACUUAAGAGAGAAAAUCGAUCAGUUGAACAAUAAUGGCAAGAUGAAAACUGAAGAGCUUAGCGUUUAUAGUAUUCUAAGUAUAAAACUCGUUCAGAUAAAUAGAAGUCUUUUAGACAAGAGGGGCUUGCUCUAAUGGUAAGCAACUACCACUUCUAACCGAGAGGUUGUGAGUUCGAGUCUUCCCAAGAGCAAAUGUAAGUUCUUGGAGGGAAGGAUGCUGGGUCUAUUUGGAAACAGUCUCUCUAUUCUAUCCCAGAGUAGGGCCUCCCAGACCCCACUAAGUGGGAUUAUACUGGAUUGUACUUUUUUUUUAGAAUAAGAAAGAAAGAGUGUAGUCAGAUCCGAUGUUUGCAGUUCAGUGUGAUUGAGGUCAUUUUGGUUCCGAUCUUUCUGUGUCAAUUUCUCAUUUCCUUCUACUUCUUGUUUGCUUAACAUCAUGCUCUUAUUUUUGUUAAUCUACCGUUACUCUGUUUUUGAAUGUCAUUUUGUUGCAACUGUUUAGUAUAAUAUGUUUAGAUGAGUCUUGAUAGUUAAAGUGACGUUUGAUUCCAUUUCUAAUUGUAUUAUUAAUAGACAAUUGUUUAAACAUCUACUCAUUCGAAUUGGUUAUAGUUGAAUAUUAUUUUGUCAUAAUAUGAAAAUUGGGUUGCUAUCCUUCAAUUGAACUAUGUCAAAGUAGAUUAAAAGGGCUCAGGUAUGCAUUUUAUGUGACUUUACCAUAAUUUUUAAUAAUAAUAGUAGAAAUAAACAUAUUAUAAAUAUGUGUGUGUAUAUCAUGUGACCCGAUUCUAAUUUCCAACAAGGUUAAAUAGAACGUGUGGUAAACUGCGGGUGUAUUUCAUGUAGCGUGGCCUGUGAUGUAUUUUAAAUAACCUUGAAUUUUUUUGAAAUAUUAAAUGCGGUUUUAAAGUUAAAAAUACAUAUAGGUUAAAAAGUAUUUUAUAAUCAGAUAAUUAGGCCAAUAAUAAUAGUUGAGCGACCGUGCUAGAAUUAUGAAACUCGAAAAUGCACAACACCUUAUCUCGGGUUAACAGAAUUCCUUACUCGUAUUUCUGUGUUCGCAAACUGUAGAACAGAGUCAAUUUCCUUGAUUCAUGAUUUUAAAUCAGUGACUUGGGUAACCAUUAAUUAUCCUAAGUGGUGACUUUGAUUUUGAUAUCAAUAAUCCCAUUUCUAUUAAUGUCACUUGAAUUGAAAAAACUCCUUUACACCCAUUCUGGGCUAGUAAAAAAGAGGUGUGUUAGCUCUAGGGACUCUACUGGGGAUAAGAACCCAGAACUUUAGUUCAGGAUUCAGAAUUUAAGCUUAGAAUAAUUGUUAUACUUGGCUUUAUUUAUUAUUUAUUUUUUAUAUGUUUGCGCCUAAUGUGCUAAAUGCCGAUUUUUCUUUAAUAUUGUGUGAACUGUAUAUAAACUGCUAUGAAACACUUCUUCUCUGAGUCUUCUAAAUCAUCUGGGAAGAGUGCACUUCGUGUGACUUCGUUUCUGUUAGAUUAAGAAGUUGCAAAGCCAGUGAAGCUUUUGUAUUCCUAAGACGUCGCCCUCCACCCCUCGACUCGAGCUGUCCGCUCGGGCAAGCCAGGUUUAGAAAAAUGCACCUAGGUUUUUAAACCUAGAAAAACAUAACCUCAUGUCAGAUCCCUAGUAGGAACAUUUGUUUGCAUCACGUGCAUUUGACUUUGGGGACUCAACAUAUGGGUUAGGUCCUUCUAGAACAAGAAAUAAAAGACCAUCCUGAUGAAUCUUACGUGCUAUUUGUACAUUUAUUUUGCUUCGGCUUGUAUGUUGACUAGCUAAGGAAAGAGAAACAACAAAAAAAACUAAGAAUGAGGUAGGAUAGAGAAUUCACCCGAUCAUGAAAAUCCCGGUAAUUGAAAAUGCCUCGAAACUCUGCCAAAAAUUUUGUAAAAAUAAAAAGAGAGGAAAAGAAAAUAUAUUUCAAAAAAUGGAGUCAAUAUCAUGUUUUUCCAAUUAUGUCAAAACUAGCGAAUUACACAGGUCUGAUUCUCACCGGAUGUGAGAUACUUAGCAAACUUCAUUUGUUCCGGCCCACAAUUUCAUAAAAAAUACAAAACUAUUUUCCAUUACUUGCUUUUAGAUCCCUAUUUUUUAAAAAUAUACAAAAGUAUUUUCUUUUAAUUUUUUCUCAAAAUUCAAAAGUAUUUUCAUUCUUCUUUCAAAAUUAAAUUCAAGAUUCAAAAAUAAUUUCUUUUUUCUUAAGAAGCAUUUCUUCCAUAAAAUCAAAAUAAAACUAAAAAAUAUUUCCUUUCAUUUUUAGAAGUUUUUCUUUCAAAAUUCCAAGAAAAAUCAAAAAUCCAAAAAAUACUUUUUCUUUCUACUUUGGAAGUCUUUCGUUCGAAAUUUCGAAAAAAUUCAAAAAAAAUAAAAAAUCUAAAAUAUUUUGAUUCUUAUUUCAAAAAUUGAAAAGAAAAUUCGAAAUUCAAAAAUAUUUUCUUUUUUCUUUAGAAGUAUUUCUUUAAUAAAUUCAAAAUAGAAGUCCAAAAAUUCAAAAAUAUUUUCUUUCUUCUUUAAAAGGUUUUCUUUCGAAAUUCCAAAAAAGGAAAAAAAGGUGAAAUUAAGAAGAAUAAAGAGAAAAUAUUUUUUUUCUUCUUUAUGAGUCUUUCUGUUCUUCGAAAAUUUAAAAUUCAAAAAAAGUUUGUUUAUUUCCUUUAUUCUUAAUAUUUUUUCAAACUAAACAAGAUCUGAUUCAUGUUCACACAUGAUACAUAGGCAACCCACAUCAUGUUCGAUCAAACAUUGAAAAGAAAAGAAAGAAAAAAAAGAAAAAUGAUGAUAAUAAUAAGGACUGACUGAGUCCAUUCUAACAUGUCUUGUUUUGAAUUGUGAAGAGUGUUGAGGUGGUCGGUUUGUGGUAAGAGGACAACACCAAAUCCAAGGAAAAGUGAUAACUGACAUUGAAGUUGUUACAAGUGCUCAAGAGACUCAGG
Molecule: long non-coding RNA, 3381 nt
Filed under: Nicotiana benthamiana
Lineage: Eukaryota; Viridiplantae; Streptophyta; Magnoliopsida; Solanales; Solanaceae
Description: long non-coding RNA (NBEN_LNC042156)
Source: RNAcentral